CUGCUCCAACCCAAGCCUGUCAGGGUCCUGAAAGGUGGCGGUGGGGAAGGCCGGGGUGUCGGCUCCAUCUGCAGCUCAGAGAGGUUAUUCCGGCCAAGGUCGCGCUUGUCUUAGUGGUGGCUCUUCCACUAAACCUGCCUCCCGCCGUGGGCUCUGGCUGCGUUCCGUGCUGGUUCACGUGUGCAGAGCCUUUUCUGCAGCAUGUCGACUCCCCGCCCCUCCCGGGCUGGCCCGUCCCAUCCUCUGCCCUGGAGAAAUCUAACCCUCGUCACUUUUUUCCUGGCUGGCUUCCCCCCGCUUUUUGCCUUUUGUUUUGUUUUCUUUUCUGGCUACCCCACAGCCUGCGGAGUUCCCGGGCCAGGGGUCAGAUCCGAGCUGCAGCACGACCUUAGCUGCAGCUGUGGCAACGCCGGAUCCGUAACCCACCCCCUGUGCGGGGCCGGGGAUGGAACCUGCGUCCCAGCGCUCCCACGACGCCACCCAGCCUGCUGCGCCACAGCGGGGUCUCCCGCCCUCCUCUUCUAGGCUCUGGCUUUCCGUUUAAAGACCAUCACGGUUCUGGUCUGCGCCGACCCCCACCCCAGCUCCUCCCGCUGGUGCCGGCCCGUCCGUCUGCAUCGGAAUGCUUGCCACACACCACGGAAGGGCCAGCGUCACCCUGUGUGCAGAGGCGGGAAAACGCAUGCGCACACACACACACACACACACACACACACACACACACACGAGUACUUCUGAGGCUGGCGGAAGGUAUGAAUACUGUGCUUUUUAGAGGAGUGGGUAAAGGUGGGCCUGUUUGUGCUGGUUCAGACUUACCUCUGUGUCCAGUGGGAGACGGUUCCGUGUGGUGGUCGAGAGCUCGGAUUCUGCAGCCGGGGGACCGUUGCCAGGAACCAGUGUGUGGCCCGGGGUGGCUCUUAGCCUCUUGUUGCUCGGCUUCCUCAUCGCAAAGACGGAGCUGAUACAGCCCCUGCCCCGAGGGUUAACUGAGUGACGUGGGAUGUGCUUUGGGGUGAGCCUGGGAGGCGCCAGGGAGUGUUGGCUAUUGUCACCAUCACCUCCAGUGCCAUCUCCUGCAUGAAGGACAGAAAUCACGAGGUCCCAUCUCCCAGAGGGGCACGUCAGGUGCUUGGUUGACACUGGGGUCGGGGGAGCAGAGAUAUUCAGCCCCCCGGCUUCUCACUGCCUGUGCUUCAGAGCUGGUACUUCAGGGCCUUCCUACGCCUGGCACGGCGCUGUUGCAGAGGGACAGUGUCCGCAGGUGAAACAGCAGAGGAUGGCCGUGUCAGAGUCCCCAGGACCACCCCUGGGACUGAGGGUUCACAGACGCAGCAUCUCAGCAUCCAGUUUGGCCGGGAUUUAUUACAGGAAAGGAGACAGAGCCAAGUCUGCCCAAGGGCAGAGUUCGGGGGAAGCCGGGCCCAAGCUCCCUCGGCCUCUCCCCGUGGUCACACAGCUGCGGGCUGUGACCCCGUGUGAGAUGGUGUCUCCCUGGAGACCGUCUGAGACCGGGAGCCAGGACUUCCAUUGGAGCCGGUCACGGGCCCCUCUGCCUGACACGGACCAGCCCCCAGGCUUGCAGAAGGAAGCGGGUGCCCAGCCUGAGCCACCCUGACCACGUGUGGGUCCCUUGAGCCAGGCUGGUGGGUCAGGGACCCGAGGGACAGCUCCUGAAACCCAGGGUCCCGGACCCCGCCCAGCCGACCCGCGAGGAAGCCUUUCCAAGGAGAGGGGCCCUGGGCUGCUGCGCGGCUUCCUGCGUGACGUGGGCACGUGCACAGCGGCAAGCUUUUUGAGUAAGGGGACUUUGAGGGGCAAAAAGGAAAUCCUUCCCUUUUAGCAUAUUUGAAGCACUUCGCACAGGCGGUGAUGAAAUGACAGGAAAUGCUGGGACAUUCGAGGCCAGGAAAUUGAGAGGAAAGGCCAAUCCGAGUUUGAAAGAGCAUUUUUGCCCUAAAUCCUCCCAUGGUUUCUGCACCUGCCUUUUGCCCCGGCCCUGUGACAGCCACAGCCCGCUGAGCGAGAGGUGGGACCACGUGCCUGUGACGAGAGGAGGGGCCCUGGGGUCACGGGGCCCCAGGUGACAGAGCCACAGGUGACCUGUGCCUUGGACAGCACGCCCCACAGGCGUGAAAACAAGGCUCAGGGUGGAGGCCCCUCCCGCUGUCCCCUCCCGCCCUGCCUUUAUCGUACCCUCUCAGCAUCACGCCCGCCCCACACUGAGCUGGGCAGGAUUCUGCACGUGACUGCCAGGAGGCACCUGCAGGGGGGCUGCUGGUGUGCUUGCCGUCUGCACCCCUCAUUGUAGACUCCCCGCUCCUGCCACCUCUCGCUGCGGUCACAACCUGCAUUGAAGCACUCAAGGGACACGACUGGCCGGCCUGGUUGUUGUGUGUCCUCUCUGACCGGAGACAAGGUUCGUCUGCGCCAGACGCCUGGACCCUGGCAUCUUCCGCUCAAAGUUCCAACUGUUUCAGCUUCUGCCAGGCAUGCAUGCCCGAGAGGCAGAGCUCAGACUCUGGACCAGGCCGGCACGUUCAGUCCCAGCUUCCGAGCACAGACGAGGACGUGGUCCUCAGUUUCCUUAUCUGUACAAGGGGAGAAGGGCACCCACUUCCUUAAAGGAACUACCGUAUGUCACUGGUUUUGAAUGCAGUCCCCCACCACCACCACCGGUACACAGGCAUCUUACGGUCGAUGCCCUGUCAGGGGUUAACUGGCAGCUUUUUCUUUCUCUCUGUUCAGUAGUGGUGCCUCCUAAAAUCGAUGGCAUCAUAGAUCAGAUAAAAUACUAUAAAAAGCACACAGCACUUAAUGCUGGCAGGGACCUCGGCUGUUCCCGCUGUUAUCAGCAGGGCUGCCCCUCCAGGAAGGAGACAGGCUGGCAUUCGUUGUCUGUGUUGGGGCAUCUAAUUGUCAGAACUGACGGACAAAGAUUCUCAUCCCGUGUCACGGCUGAGCACGGCGAGGCUUGGGACAUCCAGGCCGCUCACCUGCCCUUGCAGAGCGAGGAGGGGGCAGACCCAGGAGGCUGCAGGCCACGACCACGGCCACCAGCUGCCUGCUUUGUAUGGCCAGUGAGCUGUGAAUGGUUUUUCCUUUUUUCUGCGGGUUGUCAAACAUCAAACGAAGUUGAGUAUUUGGUGAUGUUGAAAACUGCAAGAAACGUGAGUGUCCUUGGACUCGGCCCUGCCCACUCGAUGAUGUGCCUGCUGGUGGCUUUUGCACCGUGGUGCCAGCGUUUGGUGGUCCCAACAGAAACCGCGUGGCCCGCUGCACCUAAAACAUUUGCUGUUUGGCUUUUUACGGGAAAAGCUGCUGACGCCUGGUCUGGUUCUUGGCCCGCUGGCCGGCGUCCGAUGGAGAAGAGAGUCUUGUUUGUUUUUAUCGUCCACGCCUGGCAGCCACUCGGUCAGCGGCGACUACGUUGAAUUUCUGUCAUCAGUCCCGAGAGUCCAGAGUAGCUCUUCAGUCGUGCAGGUAACCAGGGCUCCCGUAAACAGCGAAAUAAAAUGCCCCUCGGCUCAAGGAGGGGAAGCCAGUUACAGAGACUUUCCAGGACGCUUUUCCAAAUAAUUCGCACUUGUGUUGCAACAUCUCUUACAGAGUAAAUAAAAGAAGGCAGUUCCCGUAGCACGAGGCAGCUCUCCCGGGAGCCGAGGAAAGGGUGGAGUCCCAGGUAGGAGCUGUUCUCAGGAAAUCAAACACUCAGUUCCAAGCCGUCAGCCUUGAAAGGCCCGCCGCGUGGCAGGACCGAGGCUCGGCGGUCAGGAGCCCCUUUGGCAGGUGGGAGGUGUCCGCGGUGUCCUGCUUUGAAGGCCCGGUUGGUUUUAAGGGGUCCAUCAAGUCAUUGACACGAACCCAGGACUGAGUCUCCCUCCGCAGUAAAUGUGUAUAAGGCAGACAGGCGUGGGCACCGCCAAGGCCACUGGGGAGCUCACUCAGCCUGGACUCGGGAAGGGACUUCCUGUGUUUGCAGCUGCCGCAGGUCUGGACCAGCACAACAGCUGGUGCCCUGGGCAGCUCGCCCACCCGGACACAGCUUUCUCUCGGGCUCAGGGUCCCAUGGAGAGAGCCACCUUCACAGCUGUACAGAGAAGGCAUCAUGAAAUCAGAACCAAGGCCAGAGCGCCCUCACCCAACCCCUCCCUGGGAGGGCUGCACGCACCCCCUCUGUCCCGUAAGACGCAAGAGUUUCUCAGGGACCCACUCUGGACACUUCAGGACAUGCUUAAGCAUUUAAACUGUCUUAACAAAUAAUUUCCAUUUAAGGCAUUUCCCGAAAAAGCUUAUUUCUGGAAAGAUUGCCUGCACUCCUGGAUGUGGUUGAUAACCUUUGGUUUUGUAAAGGAAGUCAAUGGAAACGUUUAAGAGAA
Molecule: long non-coding RNA, 4376 nt
Filed under: Sus scrofa (pig)
Lineage: Eukaryota; Metazoa; Chordata; Mammalia; Artiodactyla; Suidae
Description: lncRNA (ENSSSCG00050061765.1)
Source: RNAcentral